GGAACAUUCACCAGAGGCUGGUGUUCCACAUCUCUGUGGAUGUCAGGCUGCAAAUUGCCAUUUUGAGGCUGGCUGAAGAACACCCUGCUGACGUGGUGCUGACCCUCCUGCGCUGUGCCCCAACGUGUGACAGGUACGGGGCCCACGAGCCUUGAGAGCUCAGGGCUCAGCAGCCUUUAGGGCCCACGGCCCUGCACAGCCUGUCCAGUGGGCUCUGCCAGACAGGCAGAGAGGCCCAGAACCCUCUGGCCCCUCUGUUUCCUGAGCCUGCUGCCAGUGCUCCCCCCCUGCCCUUCAGGGCAUCAGGGCUCUGUCACCUGGGCCCUCAUGGGUGCACAGGGCGUGGUGCUGUGACUGAGAUGCCCCUGACACAGAGCCCUGAUCCCACAGAGCUGCUGCAAUGAUGUGGAGAACCAUCGGCUCCUCGAGUCCCACAGUGGAAAAAGUACUGCCAGUGCUGCUCUGCGUGAUGGAGAAUUGGCCUCAGCACAGCAUGUCCACCUCUGAUGAGGAUGACACACGUGUUUUUGCCCUGGCUGCAGCUCUGGUGCUCUGGGUGAUUCUCCAGGUGCCUGAGUGCCAGGAGGCGAUGGACCUUUAUUCCUCCCGCCUGUUUGUGGCUCUGCUCUUCCAUGUGGUCGUCACCACACAGGAGAUACCACCAGAGGAAGUUGAUAAAUUCUGGAGAGCAUGCCGGGAGGAACACCGCUUUCACAGCAGGCUCAGGAGGUCCCAGUCCCCCUGUCCUUCCCGUGCCCUUGUGGCCAGCGCCAGCGCUCCCAGUGUGACCCGGGCUUUGCUCUGCACACAGGUUUGCAGUGCAGGCCAUGAAGGCUCUGCUCUGCCGACUGCAGUGUGACCAUGUGCUGGUGGCUAUAGAGCGCAAGCGUGGCUGGGACACGCUGAUGUAUGCUGACACCCAGCACUAUGCCGUGGGUCUGCUGGCCAGGGAGCUGAGGCGUGUCUUGAUUCCUUUGUGCUCUCACGCCGCACUCCACUUGCUCCGGCACCUCAGCAAGGAGGAACCAUGCUAUGAUCUGCCCUUCCUGGCAUUCCUGGUGGAGGUCCUUGAGUUCUUGGAUUUGAGUAAAUGUGGUGACAGCAUACUGGAGAUCAUGUCAAGGUACCUGCAGAGCGAGUGCAGGGAGCGGUGGCGCCUGGCACUCCGAGGCCUCGUGGUGCUCACCGAGGAUGCCUCGAUGGCCAAAAGAAUGUACAGUCUGUCUACAAGGCUUCUGGAGCUGCUGAGGGAUGCAGAUGGAGAGGUGGUCAGCAUGAGCCUCCGUGUGUUCACCAAUGUGCUCGAGCACAAAGACAUUCUGGUAUCCAGCACCACUGCCCCGAAGCUGGCUGAGGCACUCCUCCUGCUCUUUGACCAUGUAAGGCUCCGUGUCCACAGCCAUGGGCGCAGACUGCCCGCAUACCCUUUUCCCUUAUGGAUUUUCAGACAUUGUCUCAGUUGAGCCUGGAAUAAUUGGUCUUAAAAGUCUUAUCCUUUUCUAAAGGACAACAGCUAUGUGCAGUUGCUCUCUAUUCAACUCUUUGACAAGAUGAUGGACUUGGUAGUGGAUGAGGGAAAAAAGCCCAUGAAGAAGCUUUUGUGUCAGAGCUUGCUCCCACUUUUCUUGUAUUGCCAUGCGGAGAACCAGCGUGCGGCAAAGGUGAGGUUUUGCGUGAUGCUGGUGGAUCCCUGGGAGGGGGCUGGGCAGCCUCUUGCCCUGGCG
Molecule: long non-coding RNA, 1724 nt
Filed under: Chloebia gouldiae (Gouldian finch)
Lineage: Eukaryota; Metazoa; Chordata; Aves; Passeriformes; Passeridae
Description: Erythrura gouldiae (Gouldian finch) lncRNA (ENSEGOG00005015701.1)
Source: RNAcentral